UACGUAGGGUGCGAGCGUUAAUCGGAAUUACUGGGAGUAAAGUGUGCGCAGGCGGCCGCGCAAGUCGAGUGUGAAAUCCCCGAGCUUAACUUGGGAAUUGCGCUCGAAACUACGUGGCUGGAGUGUGGCAGAGGAAGGUGGAAUUCCACGUGUAGCGGUGAAAUGCGUAGAGAUGUGGAGGAACACCGAUGGCGAAGGCAGCCUUCUGGGCCAACACUGACGCUCAUGCACGAAAGCGUGGGGAGCAAACAGG
Molecule: ribosomal RNA, 253 nt
Filed under: uncultured bacterium
Lineage: Bacteria
Description: partial 16S ribosomal RNA
Rfam family: Bacterial small subunit ribosomal RNA
Source: RNAcentral